CAGCAGCCGCGGGAAUACGAAGGGUGCAAGCGUUAAUCGGAAUUACUGGGCGUAAAGCGUGCGUAGGCGGUGAGUUAAGUCUGCUGUGAAAUCCCCGGGCUCAACCUGGGAAUGGCAAUGGAUACUGGCAAGCUAGAGUGUGUCAGAGGAUGGUGGAAUUCCCGGUGUAGCGGUGAAAUGCGUAGAGAUCGGGAGGAACAUCAGUGGCGAAGGCGGCCAUCUGGGACAACACUGACGCUGAGGCACGAGAGCGUGGGGAGCAGACAGGAUUAGAUACCCCCGUAGUCCCUGUCUCUAUACA
Molecule: ribosomal RNA, 301 nt
Filed under: uncultured bacterium
Lineage: Bacteria
Description: partial 16S ribosomal RNA
Rfam family: Bacterial small subunit ribosomal RNA
Source: RNAcentral